This 164-nucleotide ribosomal RNA is filed under the name Solenidium portillae. RNAcentral describes it as "5.8S ribosomal RNA". It matches the Rfam family "5.8S ribosomal RNA". Rfam says of the family: 5.8S ribosomal RNA (5.8S rRNA) is a component of the large subunit of the eukaryotic ribosome. It is transcribed by RNA polymerase I as part of the 45S precursor that also contains 18S and 28S rRNA. Functionally, it is thought that 5.8S rRNA may be involved in ribosome translocation. Lineage: Eukaryota; Viridiplantae; Streptophyta; Magnoliopsida; Asparagales; Orchidaceae. The record is from RNAcentral.
GACACGACUCUCGACAAUGGAUAUCUUGGCUCUUGCAUCGAUGAAGAGCGCAGCGAAAUGCGAUACGUGGUGCGAAUUGCAGAAUCCCGCGAACCAUCGAGUCUUUGAACGCAAGUUGCGCCCGAGGCCCGCAGGCUAAGGGCACGUCCGCCUGGGCGUCAAGC